RNAcentral lists this ribosomal RNA (786 nucleotides) under marine metagenome. RNAcentral describes it as "bacterial SSU rRNA". It matches the Rfam family "Bacterial small subunit ribosomal RNA", at positions 388 to 1192 of the family's 1533-position model. The record is from RNAcentral.
GCAGCGAUGCCGCGUGAGUGAAGAAGGCCCUUGGGUUGUAAAGCUCUUUCGUCGGGGAAGAAAAUGACUGUACCCGAAUAAGAAGGUCCGGCUAACUUCGUGCCAGCAGCCGCGGUAAUACGAAGGGACCUAGCGUAGUUCGGAAUUACUGGGCUUAAAGAGUUCGUAGGUGGUUGAAAAAGUUAGUGGUGAAAUCCCAGAGCUUAACUCUGGAACUGCCAUUAAAACUUUUCAGCUAGAGUAUGAUAGAGGAAAGCAGAAUUUCUAGUGUAGAGGUGAAAUUCGUAGAUAUUAGAAAGAAUACCAAUUGCGAAGGCAGCUUUCUGGAUCAUUACUGACACUGAGGAACGAAAGCAUGGGUAGCGAAGAGGAUUAGAUACCCUCGUAGUCCAUGCCGUAAACGAUGUGUGUUAGACGUUGGAAAUUUAUUUUCAGUGUCGCAGGGAAACCGAUAAACACACCGCCUGGGGAGUACGACCGCAAGGUUAAAACUCAAAUGAAUUGACGGGGACCCGCACAAGUAGUGGAGCAUGUGGUUUAAUUCGAAGAUACGCGCAGAACCUUACCAACACUUGACAUGUUCGUCGCGACUCUAAGAGAUUAGAGUUUUCGGUUCGGCCGGACGAAACACAGGUGCUGCAUGGCUGUCGUCAGCUCGUGUCGUGAGAUGUUGGGUUAAGUCCCGCAACGAGCGCAACCCUCACUUUUAGUUGCCAUCAUUAAGUUGGGCACUCUGAAAGAACUGCCAGUGAUAAGCUGGAGGAAGGUGGGGAUGACGUCAAGUCC